GACGAGCGCUGGCGGCGUGCUCAACACAUGCAUGUCGAACGGAAAGGCCCUGCUUUUGUGGGGUGCUCGAGUGGCGCACGGGUGAGUAACCCGUGAGUAAACUGCCCUUGACUUUGGGAUAACUUCAGGUCACUGGGGCUUAUACCGGCUAGGAGCUCCUGCUGCCUGGUGGGGGUUGGAAAGUUUCGGCGGUUGGGGAUGGACUCGCGGCCUAUCAGCUUGUUGGUGGGGUGGUGGCUUACCAAGGCUUUGACGGGUAGCCGGCCUGAGAGUGUGACCGGCCACAUUGGGACUGAGAUAAGGCCCAGACUCCUACGGGAGGCAGCAGUGGGGAAUAGUGCACAAUGGGCGGAAGCCUGAUGCAGCAACGCCGCGUGCGGGAUGACGGCCUUCGGGGUGUAAACCGCUUUCGCCUGUGACGAAGCGUGAGUGACGGUAAUGGGUAAAGAAGCACCGGCUAACUACGUG
Molecule: ribosomal RNA, 468 nt
Filed under: uncultured bacterium
Lineage: Bacteria
Description: partial 16S ribosomal RNA
Rfam family: Bacterial small subunit ribosomal RNA
Source: RNAcentral